Molecule: long non-coding RNA, 1635 nt
Organism: Eleginops maclovinus (Patagonian blennie)
Lineage: Eukaryota; Metazoa; Chordata; Actinopteri; Perciformes; Eleginopidae
Exons: 4
Source: RefSeq, a predicted model, not a curated record
CAAUAGCCAAGGUGAAAGCAUCUCCACAAGCGGCCAUGGUGAUGCCCUGCAGCCCUGGGACCAGGUAAGGAACACGGCUGCUGCGACGGGAGCUGCAGCCCAUCUGACCAUGCUGGUUGCUGCCAAAGAAUGGGCUGUCCCGAUGUCAAUGUGAACUAUCUUCUCACUGUCGAGUGGGGCCGAUUGGACAUGAGUGUAAGAGUUGACUUCUUCCACCUGAUUCGAGGGAUUUGAUUCCUCUCCAACUGUUAUCUGGUCCAGCCCAAGCUUAUUGAACCUGAUCACACAGAAACCACAAUCAAGGCCACAAUGCUGUACUGGGUGCUGAUAAUCAUGGAGCAGUCGACUCCACAAAUAACCCUCUGGGCCUCAAAUUCCACAGGCAAAUACUUCUCUUUCAUUGGUCACAGCGAGUACGUGGGAAGCACCACACAACAUCUGAACCAGCUCGUAGCCGAGGAGGGCCUCAACUAUCUUUGGCUGAGCAAAAAAACAGAGACAAAAGAUAUGUCAUCAUUGUCGUGUUUUAAUCACAAAUCUAAAGCAACAUGUCUUCCUGGUUACCCAGUGUAAGUAUACAAUUUAUCAUACAAAUGCAACAUUCAAUUCAUGCCAGGGACCUCUGUUGCAUGUCUCAUGAGUCUCCUUCUUGUUUUCUGCCAACCUCUCCAGUCAUUACUAUCAACUGUCCAAUCAUUUUUUAAUUUUUCAUAAUUCUCUUAAAUAUUUUGACAGGAAAUGCACAUGAAAGCAUUAGUGAUGAGUAAUUUGCUUCAUAGGCACAUAGAGUAUAAAUCACACAGGCGCAACUUUUACAAAUGUACGUACAGCAAAAACGCUAAUUGUUUUUAAAUACCAAAGAUGUCGAUGUUUUAAAUUGAAUGGGAUUUAGAUGGUGGUGUGACAUUGAAUUACAUACUGUAUAUCUCAAAGCACUGUAAGUGCUGACAACUUCUGUUGACAUAGUGUGAAUACAAAUCCAAGGAAUAAACUCAGUUGCCAGUUUAUAAGGUACACAAGCUUAAACAAAUCUACCAGUCUCAUACAGUCAUUGUUUUAAUACCAUGUAAGGACUUUAAUGUUUUUGUUGAAACUGUUUUAGAGAUACAAUGAUUCAGCUUUGUGAUAAUCUUGAAGGUUAAAGAUUGCGGUGCUGUUUAAAUGCAUGGCAUUUCACUAAGAGUUGUUUCUAAUAUUUAGCAAAAUUGAUAUAAACAAGGUGAACACAAAAUGAGAAACUAUAGUAGAACUCAUUGCAGUGCUGUUGUAAUAGACUGUAUUACUUUAAAUGGGUGUAUCUAAAAACUGUCGACUAAGUGUACAUUUAAUCUACGUAUUUCCCUUUGAAUGGUGGACAUGUACCUGUGUUACAUCAUUGAAGUUUCCGUGUCCCAGACAGCCAUUGCUCCCACUUCCAAAUGUCAUGAUAAUGCCCCUGUCUGCAAAUUGAAAAUAAAAAGAAGGGAUUAAAGACACGAUGACCACAUGACUGUAGGUGUAUUCUUAUGUACACCAACACAACGCUUCUAAUCCUCAUCUAGGAAACGCUAAUCUGCAUCUCUACAGUGAAAAGUGAUGAAAGAGAGGGAAGGGUCUUUAAUCCCGUGUUAUCUGUUUCACAUUACUGGGCAGACA